AUGCUUAUGCUGGAUAAAAACCAUCCAGAUUCUCGCAUUUCCAUUAAGAACCUAAAUUGUAGCAGUGAUUCCACUUUUGUUAAACUGCAUAACAUAAUGUCUUAUGCUUCAGUGAAAUCGCGAGUUGGGAAGUUUUGUGUCUGUCAGAGUUCUGAUACGUGUAAUCUAUUCAUAUGGGAUGAAGAUCUUGGCGUAAAAUCUAGAAAUGAAGAUGUUACCAUUAAGAACUCAGAGUUGGAAGCCAUGACAUCUGUGGGAUUAUGA
Non-coding RNA from Vicia faba (fava bean), 264 nucleotides. The record is from the annotation of a GenBank genome assembly. NCBI's taxonomy places the organism in Eukaryota, Viridiplantae, Streptophyta, Magnoliopsida, Fabales, Fabaceae.